Molecule: long non-coding RNA, 541 nt
Filed under: Gallus gallus (chicken)
Lineage: Eukaryota; Metazoa; Chordata; Aves; Galliformes; Phasianidae
Description: lncRNA (ENSGALG00010013522.1)
Source: RNAcentral
AAAUGAAUCUGUCUCAGCCUCAGUUGUACAAUGAGAGACUUCUUUAAUGGCAGGAAGUUGGCUGUUCCCAUAUUCUUCACCCAGACAAAAGUUCUGGCCACUGCUAGAUGAGAAAAUAGCGACAGCAUUUUCUAAAGAGCCAGGGAAAUAAAAUCACAGAAGGAAGUGUUCUAAAGCCCUUCAAUACAGCAAACUGUGUCGGCAAAGCAAAGAUUACAUCACCUCCAGAAACAAGGAAACAGCUCUGUGAAGAUCUGGCUACCCAAAGGAAUUUACUCUGCAGUGUGCUGUUUCAAUGCAAUGACAUCACAGACACCGGCAGGGUUCCUACCCAGCAUGAGAUAGACACAGCUCCCAGCAUCAUCUGGCACCCAGCAAGUUCACCUCUGGAACUUCCUCAAGCUCUUUCUGGAAGUGACACAGAGCUGCUCAGUGCCCCGGCACUCAGGUUCAGUUUGGACAAGGAUUUUGGAUGUCCGCAUAGAAGAGCUGUUUGAACACAGGGGUUUAGUUUGGUGUUUUACUAAAUAAACUUUGCAUU